This 499-nucleotide ribosomal RNA is filed under the name uncultured Glomeromycotina. Its description in RNAcentral is "partial small subunit ribosomal RNA". It matches the Rfam family "Eukaryotic small subunit ribosomal RNA", at positions 591 to 1092 of the family's 1831-position model. The record is from RNAcentral. Lineage: Eukaryota; Fungi; Glomeromycota.
CCAAUAGCGUAUAUUAAAGUUGUUGCAGUUAAAAAGCUCGUAGUUGAAUUUCGGGAUCAAUAUGUCGGUCGUGCCUCGGUACGUACUGGUAUCAUUGGUUUCUCCCUUCUGAUGAACCAUGAUGCCAUUAAUUUGGUGUCGUGGGGAAUCAGGACUGUUACUUUGAAAAAAUUAGAGUGUUUAAAGCAGGCUCACGCUUGAAUACAUUAGCAUGGAAUAAUGAAAUAGGACGUUUGAUUCUAUUUUGUUGGUUUCUAGGAUCGACGUAAUGAUUAAUAGGGAUAGUUGGGGGCAUUAGUAUUCAAUUGUCAGAGGUGAAAUUCUUGGAUUUAUUGAAGACUAACUACUGCGAAAGCAUUUGCCAAGGAUGUUUUCAUUAAUCAAGAACGAAAGUUAGGGGAUCGAAGACGAUCAGAUACCGUCGUAGUCUUAACCAUAAACUAUGCCGACUAGGGAUCGGAUGAUGUUAAUUUUUUAAUGACUCAUUCGGCGCCUUACG